AGCCCAGCUGCUGGAUUUCCACUGAGAGGAGAGUCAUGCAUUGCCUGUCACCCCCAAUAAGCAAAGCCUACCCUGGGCACCUUGUGGUCUCCUUUCAGGGAGGCAGUGCCUCCUCCUCCUAUCUGUGACAUUGUCUUUCUACCACUCUUCUUUGUUGUUGUUGCUUUUUGUGUGUGUGUGUGUGUGUCCAGUUAAAAUUGAUUGACAUAAAGGUCAUGGUAGCACAGAAGAAAAGAGGAAAGAGUCCCUUUUGCACAACAAAUUCCCAGGGUUUGCAUGAGUCCCUUUUGCACAACAAAUUCCCAGGGUUUGCAUGAGCUUAGCAAGGCUCGCUUGGGGCGAGAAGUGCCUGGACAUCUUUCUCUGGGGUGUUGUAUUAUUUUGCCUUUUGUCACUUGAUCACAAAAGGCAUAAAGCAACAGCUUCUCACCCUCUCCAGAACACCUACAAGGAGGCUUAAGUACCUAAACCCAUGCAGAGGUUGAGCUUAAUACAAUGUGAAUAUCACAGCAAGGUGAUAGAUAGACUCUAUAGACAAGAAGACCUGGGGAAAAAAAAAAAAAAAAGGAAAAAAAACCAUUAUUUUCUCUUUUCUUUCAAUUAUUCAACAGUCUGAAUGCAUUUAAAUAUUUAAGCUUACCUACUUUUUUCCUCACUUGUCAUUGUGCUCCACCAUUUGUUUCCUUUCAUUAUUAAAAGAAAACAAAGCCGUAACUCAGUGUUGCAUACUUCCAAUUAAUAUGAAUGCUUUCAUGAAAAUGCAGAAGGAGGAAUAAAUCCAGCAGAAGCUUUUAUUGCAUUUAAACAUCCACCUCCAGGACUGGAAACUCACACGCAGUGGGGUGGCAUGAAUUCAUGAGAACUGGUGAAAGAAGCCUGAAGCUGCAAGUGCAUAGACAUAGAGAGCGGAUGAAGACCCAUGAGACCAACAAGCAGAGAUGUAGGAAUGCAGGAGAACAUGACAGUUCUGAUCUGUUGGAUGGAGAGAGUCUCCAUGUAGGAUCAUGGCAUGGAUCCAAUUGCUUAGUUCUUGCUCAGAUGACUUUCAGAUAUUACUUUCAGCCAUGA
RNAcentral lists this long non-coding RNA (1068 nucleotides) under Phasianus colchicus (ring-necked pheasant). RNAcentral describes it as "lncRNA (ENSPCLG00000018410.1)". Lineage: Eukaryota; Metazoa; Chordata; Aves; Galliformes; Phasianidae. The record is from RNAcentral.